This 620-nucleotide ribosomal RNA is filed under the name uncultured bacterium. RNAcentral's name for it is "bacterial SSU rRNA". The stretch from base 1 to 526 matches the Rfam family "Bacterial small subunit ribosomal RNA", at positions 338 to 873 of the family's 1533-position model. The record is from RNAcentral.
CCUACGGGAGGCAGCAGUGGGGAAUAUUGGACAAUGGGCGAAAGCCUGAUCCAGCAAUGCCGCGUGAGUGAUGAAGGCCUUAGGGUUGUAAAGACUCUUUUACCCGGGAUGAUAAUGACAGUACCGGGAGAAUAAGCCCCGGCUAACCUCCGUGCCAGCAGCCGCGGUAAUACGGAGGGGGCUAGGCGUUGUUCGGAAUUACUGGGCGUAAAGCGCACGUAGGCGGUUAUUCAAGUCAGAGGUGAAAGCCUGGAGCUCAACUCCAGAACUGCCUUUGAAACUAGAUAACUAGAAUCAUGGAGAGGUGAGUGGAAUUCCGAGUGUAGAGGUGAAAUUCGUAAGAUAUUCGGAAGAACACCAGUGGCGAAGGCGGCUCACUGGACAUGUAUUGACGCUGAGGUGCGAAAGCGUGGGGAGCGAAACAGGAUUAGAUACCCUGGUAGUCCACGCCGUAAACGAUAGAUAACUAGUUGUUGGGGCUCUUAGAGCUCUAGUGACGCAGCUAACGACAUAAGUACUAUCCGCCGUCGGGAGGUACGGUCGGCGAGAAUAAAACUAACAAAUAAGAAGUUAGUACGGACGUGAGACGUAGCCGAACGGACGACGACGAGGGAAGGAGG